RNAcentral lists this ribosomal RNA (373 nucleotides) under uncultured organism. RNAcentral's name for it is "bacterial SSU rRNA". It matches the Rfam family "Bacterial small subunit ribosomal RNA", at positions 527 to 896 of the family's 1533-position model. The record is from RNAcentral.
GGGGGGAGCAAGCGUUGUUCGGAUUUACUGGGCGUAAAGGGCGCGUAGGCGGCCAGCGCAAGUCAGUUGUGAAAUCUCCGGGCUUAACUCGGAACGGUCAACUGAUACUGCGCGGCUAGAGUGCAGAAGGGGCAACUGGAAUUCUCGGUGUAGCGGUGAAAUGCGUAGAUAUCGAGAGGAACACCUGCGGCGAAGGCGGGUUGCUGGGCUGACACUGACGCUGAGGCGCGAAAGCCAGGGGAGCGAACGGGAUUAGAUACCCCGGUAGUCCUGGCCUUAAACGAUGGAUGCUUGGUGUCUGGAGUUUUAUAGUCUCCGGGUGCCGUAGCUAACGCGUUAAGCAUCCCGCCUGGGGAGUACGGUCGCAAGACUG